Molecule: RNA transcript, 2277 nt
Organism: Triticum dicoccoides
Lineage: Eukaryota; Viridiplantae; Streptophyta; Magnoliopsida; Poales; Poaceae
Gene name: tRNA-specific adenosine deaminase TAD1-like
Exons: 11
Source: RefSeq, a predicted model, not a curated record
UCUUUUUCUUCCACCCCUGCUCUCGCCGGAUCCCGGUCGCCCCACCGCAAAUCUAGCGGAGGGUCAGCUCGGGCUCGGCGGCGACCAGAGAGGAGGAGGGAAGUGGCGUGGUUCUCUCUCUCGCGCGCGCGUGCGGCGGAGACGGAGAAGGGCGCCGGCUGCUCCAGGCUGUAACCUCUGGACUGGAGUCCUUGUCGCGCCUAGAUGCUCCGCGCCUCCUCGCCACAGCGGCAAGACGGCGUCCUGUGGGCCAAGGCUGCUUCCUCGGCCGCCCUCCACCAGUACUAUGCCCUCCCAAAGAAGGGCAAGCCGCAGGGCCGCGAGUCCACCGUCCUCGCCGCCUUCGUGCUCUCCUCUCCAGAGAACCCACUGAACCCCACCGUCCUCUCCCUCGCCACCGGCACCAAGUGCCUCGGCGCAGCACGCCUCGGACCUCGCGGUGACCUCGUCCAUGACGCCCACGCCGAGGUCGUCGCCCGCCGCGCGCUGCUCCGCCUCAUUUAUGCCGAGAUUGGCACAGACAACCCACCAAGUUGGCUGGUUGCAUCUGGUGCUGAUGGGCGAUGGAGGCUCAAGGACGGGCAUCAGCUGCAUCUCUACAUCACCCAGAUCCCCUGUGGGAUCAUGCCGGUGCCGCCGUCACCCUUGGAAGUUCGAAGGGAACAAUUGGAUACCAUGGCGAACAGUGAUGUUGGUUUUGUUCAAAGGAAGCCAGGCCGUGGUGAUACAACAUUGUCAGUGAGCUGUUUUGACAAAAUUACUCGCUGGUGUGUCGUUGGGAUUCAAGGUGCAUUGCUGUCACACAUUCUCGAACCCUUGUAUUUGUCCACCAUUACCAUUGGACAAUCAUCUGAUGGUGCACCUGAAGGGUUUUGUAUUGAAGAUAACGUUGUAAAAGUUCUUGGUGCUCGUUUGUCCUGUCUAUCCAGUAAAUUCCCUGACCCUUUCAAACCGAACAAGCCACUAUUUUUUGAGGCACCUGUCCCCCCUAAAGAAUUUCAACAGACUUCGGGAGAUAUACCCCCUUUGACAUGCGGGUAUUCAAUAUGCUGGAAUAAAUCCGGUUUGCAUGAAGUUGUUUUAGGAACAACUGGGAGAAAACAAGGCACAUCUUCAAAGGCAGCAUCCUCACCCUCCACUGAGUCAUUGCUCUGCAAGAUAAGAUUGGCAGAGGCCUUCAUAUCACUUGAACAUCCAUUAGUCACAAAAUUCCGGCAUGAGAAGCUUUCUUAUCGUGCAAUUAAGGACAUGGCUUGUGAGUACCAGCAGAUGCUUGAGCUUCUUAGAAAGGCUCCAUUUUUUGGCCGGUGGCGUGCUAAGCCAGCAUCCGUUGAUUCGUUUACAGUUCGACGGUGAUAACCAAAUCUUGAAGUUCUAUGCUGUGUCCCAGAGGCUGGAUUUUGAAGUUCCUUAAUUCAACCAUAAUUUUAGCAGUUUUCUGUGCCAGCUCUUUCAACUUAUUUGUAGCAUCUAUGCUUCUGCACAAUACUGAAGUAUUGAACAGUGGUAGCCUGUAACAAACCUAUAAGGCCCUUUGAUGUUUGGCACCAUGAGGCGGUGACAGCGGCGCAGCUCUGAGUGCAGGCAUUAUGGAGCGUACAGCAGAGCGAGCCGUGACCCUAGGAGAAGACCCUCGUUCAAAUCACCAUGCUCUGGCAUAAUUUGUCACGCCUGAGUUAAACAUGUUUAAAUGAAGGGAUAAUAGGUGUCAGUCAGGUUAAUUUUCAAGCUUCAGUAGUCACAAGAUCACGCAAUAGUUAGGACUAUAGUUAGGACUAUACAUCCAAGAUCACGCAAUGAUUCAGAGGACUUGCGGCCAAACCUCUCUGUGAAAACUGGCGCGGUUUGUCAAAAAAAUUCUGUGGAAGUAGUCACAAGGGUUAUUACCAGGUACGCAUUACCUGAAUGAUCUCUUUUUCUAGGCAGAUCUCAAUGUAGUUUAACUUGCAACUGGGGCGUUGAGAUUGAUCAGUGAGUGCAGUGCUUUUGCAGUACGGGCUAUAUGUUCUCAACAAAGCAAAAUAAAGGGUUAAUAGUAGCAGCUGCUGACAAACAAGACCUGUUUUGGAUGAACAAAUAAAAUUCAUCUUUUUUUACCCACUGCAUAUCCCUUUAUUAGACCAGGACAGUUCCACCAUCAUCUAUCAGUGUAGGCUGUAGAAGCAAGGAAAUCUGGGGGAUAGUAUAUGAGCUAACAAAUGAUUAAAACCGUCUUGCUUUAGUUUGCAGUGCUGCCAAAAGGAAAUCUUGUUUUGGUUGUAGCAUACUGGUAUUUUG